UAUUAAGUUGGUACAAAAGUAAUUGUGGCUUUUGCCAUCACUUUACAAAAACCACAAUUACUUUUGCACCGAUCUUAGAUAU
Molecule: microRNA precursor, 82 nt
Filed under: Chlorocebus sabaeus (green monkey)
Lineage: Eukaryota; Metazoa; Chordata; Mammalia; Primates; Cercopithecidae
Description: miRNA (ENSCSAG00000021689.1)
Source: RNAcentral